UCCGUAGGCGGGUAAUUAAGUCAGAGGUGAAAUCCCAUAGCUUAACUGUGGAACUGCCUUAGAUACUGGUUAUCUUGAGUUUUAGUGAAGUAGAUAGAAUGUGUAGUGUAGCGGUGAAAUGCAUAGAUAUUACACAGAAUACCGAUUGCGAAGGCAGUCUACUAACUAACAACUGACGCUAAUGGACGAAAGCGUGGGGAGCGAACAGGAUUAGAUACCCUGGUAGUCC
Molecule: ribosomal RNA, 229 nt
Filed under: uncultured bacterium
Lineage: Bacteria
Description: partial 16S ribosomal RNA
Rfam family: Bacterial small subunit ribosomal RNA
Source: RNAcentral